Molecule: ribosomal RNA, 624 nt
Filed under: Streptomyces sp. EK-A7
Lineage: Bacteria; Bacillati; Actinomycetota; Actinomycetes; Kitasatosporales; Streptomycetaceae
Description: bacterial SSU rRNA
Rfam family: Bacterial small subunit ribosomal RNA
Source: RNAcentral
ANNNUGCAGUCGAACGAUGAAGCCCUUCGGGGUGGAUUAGUGGCGAACGGGUGAGUAACACGUGGGCAAUCUGCCCUUCACUCUGGGACAAGCCCUGGAAACGGGGUCUAAUACCGGAUAACACCGGCUUCCGCAUGGGAGCUGGUUGAAAGCUCCGGCGGUGAAGGAUGAGCCCGCGGCCUAUCAGCUUGUUGGUGGGGUAAUGGCCUACCAAGGCGACGACGGGUAGCCGGCCUGAGAGGGCGACCGGCCACACUGGGACUGAGACACGGCCCAGACUCCUACGGGAGGCAGCAGUGGGGAAUAUUGCACAAUGGGCGAAAGCCUGAUGCAGCGACGCCGCGUGAGGGAUGACGGCCUUCGGGUUGUAAACCUCUUUCAGCAGGGAAGAAGCGAAAGUGACGGUACCUGCAGAAGAAGCGCCGGCUAACUACGUGCCAGCAGCCGCGGUAAUACGUAGGGCGCAAGCGUUGUCCGGAAUUAUUGGGCGUAAAGAGCUCGUAGGCGGCUUGUCACGUCGGGUGUGAAAGCCCGGGGCUUAACCCCGGGUCUGCAUCCGAUACGGGCAGGCUAGAGUGUGGUAGGGGAGAUCGGAAUUCCUGGUGUAGCGGUGAAANNGCGUAG